CCUACGGGUGGCAGCAGUGGGGAAUAUUGCACAAUGGGGGAAACCCUGAUGCAGCGACGCCGCGUGAGUGAAGAAGUAAUUCGUUAUGUAAAGCUCUAUCAGCAGGGAAGAAAAUGCUGGUACCUGUGUCAGAAGCCCCGGAUAACUACGUGCCAGCAGCCGCGGUAAUACGGAGGGGGCAAGCGUUAUCCGGAUUUACUGGGUGUAAAGGGAGCGUAGACGGCUGUGCAAGUCUGGAGUGAAAGGCGGGGGCUCAACCCCCGGACUGCUCUGGAAACUGUACGGCUGGAGUGCAGGAGGGGUAAGUGGAAUGCCUGGUGUAGCGGUGAAAUGCGUAGAUAUUAGGAGGAACACCGGUGGCGAAGGCAGCUUGCUGGAC
RNAcentral lists this ribosomal RNA (379 nucleotides) under uncultured bacterium. RNAcentral's name for it is "partial 16S ribosomal RNA". It matches the Rfam family "Bacterial small subunit ribosomal RNA", at positions 338 to 734 of the family's 1533-position model. The record is from RNAcentral.